RNAcentral lists this ribosomal RNA (373 nucleotides) under uncultured organism. RNAcentral describes it as "partial 16S ribosomal RNA". It matches the Rfam family "Bacterial small subunit ribosomal RNA", at positions 527 to 896 of the family's 1533-position model. The record is from RNAcentral.
GUAGGUGGCAAGCGUUGUCCGGAAUUAUUGGGCGUAAAGCGCGCGCAGGCGGUUCUUUAAGUCUGAUGUGAAAGCCCACGGCUCAACCGUGGAGGGUCAUUGGAAACUGGGGAACUUGAGUACAGAAGAGGAAAGCGGAAUUCCACGUGUAGCGGUGAAAUGCGUAGAGAUGUGGAGGAACACCAGUGGCGAAGGCGGCUUUCUGGUCUGUAACUGACGCUGAGGCGCGAAAGCGUGGGGAGCAAACAGGGAUUAGAUACCCUGGUAGUCCACGCCGUAAACGAUGAGUGCUAAGUGUUAGGGGGUUUCCCGCCCCUUAGUGCUGCAGCUAACGCAUUAAGCACUCCGCCUGGGGAGUACGGCCGCAAGGCUG